This 164-nucleotide ribosomal RNA is filed under the name Chusquea mimosa subsp. australis. RNAcentral describes it as "5.8S ribosomal RNA". It matches the Rfam family "5.8S ribosomal RNA". Rfam says of the family: 5.8S ribosomal RNA (5.8S rRNA) is a component of the large subunit of the eukaryotic ribosome. It is transcribed by RNA polymerase I as part of the 45S precursor that also contains 18S and 28S rRNA. Lineage: Eukaryota; Viridiplantae; Streptophyta; Magnoliopsida; Poales; Poaceae. The record is from RNAcentral.
CACAUGACUCUCGGCAACGGAUAUCUCGGCUCUCGCAUCGAUGAAGAACGUAGCGAAAUGCGAUACCUGGUGUGAAUUGCAGAAUCCCGCGAACCAUCGAGUCUUUGAACGCAAGUUGCGCCCGAGGCCACCAGGCCGAGGGCACGCCUGCCUGGGCGUCACGC